RNAcentral lists this ribosomal RNA (541 nucleotides) under uncultured bacterium. RNAcentral's name for it is "partial 16S ribosomal RNA". It matches the Rfam family "Bacterial small subunit ribosomal RNA", at positions 355 to 885 of the family's 1533-position model. The record is from RNAcentral.
UGGGGAAUAUUGCACAAUGGGCGCAAGCCUGAUGCAGCCAUGCCGCGUGUGUGAAGAAGGCCUUCGGGUUGUAAAGCACUUUCAGCGAGGAGGAAGGUGGUGGACUUAAUACGUUCAUCAAUUGACGUUACUCGCAGAAGAAGCACCGGCUAACUCCGUGCCAGCAGCCGCGGUAAUACGGAGGGUGCAAGCGUUAAUCGGAAUUACUGGGCGUAAAGCGCACGCAGGCGGUUUGUUAAGUCAGAUGUGAAAUCCCCGGGCUCAACCUGGGAACUGCAUUUGAAACUGGCAAGCUAGAGUCUCGUAGAGGGGGGUAGAAUUCCAGGUGUAGCGGUGAAAUGCGUAGAGAUCUGGAGGAAUACCGGUGGCGAAGGCGGCCCCCCUGGACGAAGACUGACGCUCAGGUGCGAAAGCGUGGGGAGCAAAACAGGAUUAGAUACCCUGGUAGUCCACGCUGUAAACGAUGUCGAUUUUGGAGGUUGUGCCCUUGAGGCGUGGCUUCCGGAGCUAACGCGUUAAAUCGACCGCCUGGGGAGUACGG